CCUACGGGUGGCAGCAGUGGGGGAUAUUGCACAAUGGAGGCAACUCUUAUGCAGCAAUGCCGCGUGAGUGAAGAAGGGCUUCGGAUCGUAAAGUUCUGUAAUUAGGGACGAAAAAAAUGGCGGUUCCCAAGGAAUAAUCCGCUGCUAACUACUUGCCAGCAGCCGCGGUAAUACGUAGGGGGCAAGCGUUGGUCGGCAUGAAUGGGCGUAAAGGGGGUGGAGGCGGGGUAGCAAGUCAGAAGUGAAAUGCCUAGGGCUUAACUCAGGUGCUGCUUCUAAAACUGCUAAACUUGAGUGCAGUAGAGGAAAGUGGAAUUCCUAGUGUAGCGGUGGAAUGCGUAGAUAUUAGGAGGAACACCAGUGGCGAAGGCGACUUUCUGGACUGUAACUGACGCUGAGGCACGAAAGUGUGGGGAGCAAACAGGAUUAGAUACCCGAGUAGUC
This 444-nucleotide ribosomal RNA is filed under the name uncultured bacterium. Its description in RNAcentral is "partial 16S ribosomal RNA". It matches the Rfam family "Bacterial small subunit ribosomal RNA", at positions 338 to 795 of the family's 1533-position model. The record is from RNAcentral.